RNAcentral lists this long non-coding RNA (5586 nucleotides) under Homo sapiens (human). RNAcentral describes it as "HSALNT0384311". The record is from RNAcentral. Lineage: Eukaryota; Metazoa; Chordata; Mammalia; Primates; Hominidae.
UGAAACUAGGGGAGAAGGUGGCUCUGUUACAGCCAGGAAACCACUAGAAGCACCUGGGCUUCUGUCGGAGGCUUCAAGCUCAUCCCUCAGGCGGGGCUGGGCCUCCGGUUCACCUGGAGUCCAGCAUGGGACCCUGUGCUGAGCCUGAGGCUCCUCUGCGUGGAGACAGCCCCACCCUCCCUGAGCUGGCUCCUUAGGGGCCUCACUGGGAAAAGCCAGGUCCCUUCCCACCCAUCCAUGAGAUGCCACCUCUGUGACAUGUUUUCUUGGAUGUAUCAGUAAGUCUUGAGGUGUCUUUGAUUCAGUUCCUCUCUCUGUACUAGGAACAUCCAGACUUAAUACUAUAGCUUCUUUCUAGGUUUUGAUAAUAGCCUCCCCUUUUUGUUCUCGAAAAUUCUCUUGCCCAUUCUUCAGUCUAUCAACUCUUGGUUCACUGUCAGCUAUCCCCUGGGCUGAGCACCUGGGCUGCAGCCAUAAACAGGACCUGAAGCCCCCACUGUGCGGCUCAGACAGGGAAUGAGGAGUGACACGGCGUCGCCCACAUCCAGCUUUCCCCAGACACCUCAAUCCUAAGAAUUACCCGCAGCUUCUUAAGAACUCUCAUUCCUCUGGAAACAGACAAGUGUCCAGCCACAGAUGAGUGGAUAAACACAGUGGUCUAGCCAUACAAUAGGAUAUGAUUCAGCCAUAAAAAGGGGUGAAGCACUGAAAAUGCUACAACACGGAUGAACCCGGAAAACAUGAUGCUCAGUGAGAGAAGCCAGACACAAAAGGGCAGAGAUUGCAUGAUCCCACUGAUUCUUCAUAUUCGUUCUAGGUGUGACACUUCUGGAACAGGCAAGUCCAUAGAGACAGCAAGAAGACCAAAGCUGACAACCAUCUGGGCCGUUUCCACCUUUGGGCCAUCGUGAGAAUCACGCUGCUAUGAACGUUCGGGAACAAGCUUUUGUGUUCCCCAGGGUACCUGGACACCUACCGGAGUCAUGGACCAGCAAUGCAGGUGCUGUUGAUGUUGGGGGCAUUGGGGGCAGAAAUGGCAGCAGCCAACAUGCUGGGGAUCCAUCCGUCUAGGUUCCACACCUUGCUUAAGGGCCAGCUUUGUGGCAGACCUGGAUACACCGGAGCUGGGGGAUCUUGAGGGAACAGGACCCAAGCCAUACCUUCUGCAAGGCCACAUGGAGAAUGUGAGUUUCUGGGCCCCCACACUCCCACCCCAGUCACUGACCAUCUGCCAGGCCAGCUGCACCUAGAGGCGGUGAGUCUCACCCCAAAUAUUUAACCCCUGACUCUGCAGUGCAUCGUUAGGGUCUGUACUGUGGCUCAAGUGGGGGCCUUUGUCUCUCUUGGGCCCAGUCCCACCUCAGGCACAGGGCCAGCUCCCAAACCAGCCCUUUCAUGGAUUGUGGCAGAUGCAAGAAAAGCCACCUUCUGGACUCUAUCCUGGCUGGGCCUGUUGUUCCAGCCGAAGCCCCCCAGAGGACAUGGGAGUUGUGGGGCAAUGACCACUGCCUCAGGGACCUUGGACUCCUGAUGGGACAAAGCUGUGAGCGGUAGCAGGAAGCUAUGAGCAGACAGGCCAGGCCCAAGGCCCACUGGGCUGCUUGCUGCUUAGACAGCCUCAGGCAAGUGCCCUACCCUCGUACAGCCUCCGCUUCUCCAUCUGUCCUCUGGCGAUGACCACAAAGGCAUCCUGGGCAUUUGCCACUUGCUGUGGGCUUUGCCAGACCUCAGACAUAUUCACAGGCACCAGCUCAAUAUCAUCCUUGCCCUAAGUCCCCGGGGAGGUUGGUGUGCCCCUUUGAAGAAGGGGAUGAAGAAACCAAGACUCUGAGACAUCAAAGCACUUGCUCAGGGUCACACAGCUGGUGAACCGCGAUUCUCCCCGCAAGCAAUCUCACUCCAGAGGCAUGUGAUCGACUGGGCUAGAAGUUACUCAUGGGGAUGCUAGGAAAAUCACACCAAUAACAAUCUCCACCAUCGUAAUAUGAGCUAAUACUUACUCUCUACGUGCCAGGCUCCUCACUGUUUCUGACUCAAUCUUCAUGACAACCCUGAGAGCUGGGUGUUAGCAUGGGAAGCUGGCCAGCUGCAGAUCCCUGAGACCUGUCCCUGCUUCUCCCUCCACUGGUUCUACCUGGGAACGCGUCUCCUGCGCAUCCUCCUCCAUCUGCCCCUCUGGCCUCACCUUGAUCAAAGUCACCACUUCUUACCUGGCCCAAUGCAACAGCCACCCACUCUCUUUUCUGAGAGCAUUUGGGAGCACAGGUAAGUUUUAGUUUGGAUGAUGGGAUGAUCUGGUUGCAUCAUACAAAGACCUAAGAGUUGGGGAGAUAUGCUUCCCGGCCUCCUGCCCCCAGGAGAGACGUGGACCCUCCAAGGACACCAUGAAUGGCAACCUUCCAGCCAUCAGCGACCUGGAAGGGGGCUCCCUGGGUGGGGGUGGCUUCAAGAGCCACCCUUGAUGUCUUCAGCUGUACCUGUUCAAGUCACAUGGCACCAACUGGCCCAUUCUUUCUACCCUGCCUGCAGGGGAGGAAACUGAGGCAGCCUGGCCAGGGCAGGGAACGUAGCCUGUGUUGUGGCUCUAACCCAGGUGUGGGCUCGGGCAGAUUCCUUAGUCUCUCUGUGCCUCAGUUUCCUCAUCUCUGAGACAGGGAUAGGAAUUGAUCCCACUGCAGAGGGUUGAGAUAAUUCAAGGAGAUAACCCUUAUAAAUGAAAGCGCUUUGGGUGUGGCCGCACCAUGAUUAGGAUAACUGGGUUUCAUCCUCUUCCUCCGUGUCACUGGUGGGGGCCUUGCCAGGGCAGGGCUCUUUGUCUGUUGUUCACUGCCAUGUCCGUAGCGCCCAUCAGACUGAAUGAACUAUGCUGGCUUUUGGAAUAACAGCAUGUAUUACUCCACCUGUCUCAGCCUUAAUUUCUUUCAACAUAAAUGGGGUUAUCAUGCCUGCUUGUCACGGAACAAGCAGAAAGACACUCAACAGCUGGAAAACAUUCCCACAGGAGUUCAGGUAUUAAGUUGCUUUGUAUGCAAGGCCAGCACUGUUCAACAGAAACUGAACCUGAGCCACACAGAAUUUACAUUUUUCUAGUAGCCACGUGAAAAGAGUAAGAAGAAAUGAGCGAAUUUUUUUCUAUUUUAUUUAACCUAAUAUAUCCAAAAUAUGAUCAAUUUGACAGGUGGUCAACAGAACAUUAUUAACGGAUAUUUUACAUUCUCUUUUUCACACUAAGUCUUCAAACCCUGGCACACAGACAUACGUGCACAGCCCAUGUCACGGGGCCAGUAAUUACUGAAUAGGACUGCGAGAUUCUAGGUGAUUCUGGGGCACCCGGACCUGCUUUGCUCUAAGCCCGCAGUGACCACAGUCUCUCAGUUCUGCUGUAGGAAAGCUGAUGGGCGCUCAGAGCAUCUUCCAGUCUCACUCGGUGCCUGGUACCCAGGGACACCUAAUAAAUGCUCAUUCUCUUUGAACCCCGUGACUCCUCCUGCCCACACUCACUGAUUAGAUGUCUGCCCCAGGACAGGGUCUCCUCUGUGGGUCCCUCCCUGGCUGCCUGACUCCAAAACAACCUGGGGCUCCCCACUGUGCCCACUGGAGCCUGGUGCCUGGGUGUGGAGGACCCUGGCACGAAGACCGCAGCAAGACACCCUUCCCCAGGUCCCCAGAGCCCCUGCAACCCUGUCCAUAGGCCAUGGGGCUGUGCUGGAGGCACCUGGCCUGCUCACAGCCAUCCCCUUCUCCAGGCUGCGAGAGCAGCCACCCCGGUAACAGAUCAUACUUUAGCAACAUCGGAGGGGCCACGUUCCUGCCAUCACCUCCACCCCAGCUGUCCCUGUCGCCCAGAACUGCUGUGUCCCCUGCUGGCUCACAGCCCAGCCUGCACUCUCCUCCCAUGUGUGGACACAGGUCCCUGCAGGCUCAGCACUCCCUGCCUGGCCAGGGCCACUGGCCUUUGAUCACAUCUGCAGUUCCUUCCUCUGGGGGUUAAUUCUGUCUCAGUGGGUGUGUAUUGGGGUUGCAUUGCUGCUGGAAUGUCUGGAACGCACAGGAGGGUACACCCCUCCCUGGAACCAGCCUCACCUGUCCCAGAGCCCAGAGAAGGGGCUGGGCCUCCUGCCACCACGGUCAUCCUCUUCUGGCGUCCUGCCUGCCUGGAGGGCCAGCUUGGGGGAGGUGCACCUCCGGUGCCGAGUAGCCCUCUGCCCCUACCUUCUUUAAACACUGCCUGGCUCCUGAAACAUCUGCCCUGGCUCUGACACAAAGGCAACCACCGUGGACACUCAGGAAAUAACUGAUGAAUAGUAACAACACUGAGGGCACCUACUGGGUGCCCAGCGACCGCUCAGUCCUUUUGUGCAUCACCCAUUGACGUCUCAUAGCCCUAGGAAGUAGCCACCCUUAGUGUUACUGGGGCUCUUAAUCCUACCUAUUAGGCUAUUAAAUUUUUGGACAAAAAGAACUUACUCACCUUUUUGGGGGCCCUUCUAUAACCUUAAUUCCACACCUUGCGUAGGGCUGGGCUCAAUAAAUAGGUGUUGAACUGAGCAGAUGUUUUAAUGCAAUUCGGUAACUCUUAUGUCUCUGUGUUCUAGGUGAAGAUAACUGAGGCUCACAGAAGUUAAGAAACUGGUCCGAGUUUACACAGCUGGGAAGUGGUGGUGCCAAGAUUCGAACCCAUGAAGACGGGCUUCAAAAAGCCACCUUCUCAGUACAAAGGGGACAUCAGUAUCAAUCCACACCCACCCCUUACAGACAAAGGGACAAGAGACAUCGGAGAGACAGGAUGAUGGGACCAGGCAUUCACCACCCAGGGAAGCAGAGUGAUUUACAGUUUGUUGUCAUUUUCAUCAGUACAAUUAAUCCCAGUGGUUGGUUGGGUAAGGAUUAGUGAUGGUAAACGGAGACUGAGUCAUUCUCCUAAGUUGUCCCCACAAGGGACUCCCAGCCUGUCCCUCCAAACAGACCUUUCAGGCGGAAGCAACUGCCAUUGAGUGAGCACCUUCCUGGCCCACACCCUACCCUAGCACCGGAAGCAGGUUUCAUCUCUGAUCCUUAUAACAACUAGUUGAGGUACGUGCUAUCAUAGCUCCAUUGCAGAUGAGGAAACUGAGCCUCAGGAAGACCACUUGCUCAGGGUCAAUAGGUUAGUAAGAGGUCUAUGCUUGUAACUGCUGCAGCCCCAACUGGGCACUUUCUAGAUAUUCAGUAAUUGCCAAAUAAAUUUUCGACCCCACCCCACCAACUCUUUGUCAUCUCUCUGCCCCUUACAGGCCCUGGCAACAGGCCCUUCACCAUUAACAAGCCCCCAGAGAUAUGAAUUGUCCACAUGCUAUAAAAUACCUGCUCAAUUUCACACCUAUUUAUGGAGCCCCAAGCUUAUGUAAGGCCUGGAAUUAAGGACAACAGAAGGCCCUCUCCCAAAAGAUGAGUAAAUCCCAACUAUUCAAAAGCUUGUAAGCUAGUAGGUAGGUUAAGGAAAAACACCCCAAUGGGUAUAAUUACAAAGAUUUGGCUUGGCGCGGUGACUCAUGCCUGUAAUCCCAGCACUUUGGGAGGCCGAGGCGGGCAGAUCACGAGGUCAGG